GGGGGCGUAGCUCAGCGGUAGAGCAGCGGCCUUUUAAGCCGCGUGUCAUGGGUUCGAUCCCCAUCGCCCUCACCA
RNAcentral lists this transfer RNA (75 nucleotides) under Patescibacteria group bacterium. RNAcentral describes it as "tRNA-Lys". It matches the Rfam family "tRNA". From Rfam's summary of the family: Transfer RNA (tRNA) molecules are approximately 80 nucleotides in length. Their secondary structure includes four short double-helical elements and three loops (D, anti-codon, and T loops). Further hydrogen bonds mediate the characteristic L-shaped molecular structure. tRNAs have two regions of fundamental functional importance: the anti-codon, which is responsible for specific mRNA codon recognition, and the 3' end, to which the tRNAs corresponding amino acid is attached (by aminoacyl-tRNA synthetases). tRNAs cope with the degeneracy of the genetic code in two manners: having more than one tRNA (with a specific anti-codon) for a particular amino acid; and 'wobble' base-pairing, i.e. permitting non-standard base-pairing at the 3rd anti-codon position. The record is from RNAcentral. RNAcentral also lists the same sequence under 1 other name.